This 213-nucleotide ribosomal RNA is filed under the name Triticum aestivum (bread wheat). Its description in RNAcentral is "partial small subunit ribosomal RNA". Lineage: Eukaryota; Viridiplantae; Streptophyta; Magnoliopsida; Poales; Poaceae. The record is from RNAcentral.
AUGAUGGAGCGCGGCGCCCAGCACCUGGCCGGCAGAUUCGCCGGCUCCCCGCUCCUCGGGGCCAGCCCCUCCCCCGUGCCGGGUCGAGCAUCGGCUUGGAGGCCAACACACGAGCACGGGUUCGCUCGAUCCGUCCGGGUAGGGCGCCGCCGGCGGUCUUCUUCUCCGGCCAUCCGUCGCCGGCGGCCGUUCUUCCUGCUCCCGUGCCUCUGA